CGAGCACAUUUAAGUGCACACCAGUUGAGCUGCAGAAGUUUGUGACUUUUAGCCAAUUGAAGGAAAGUACUGAAGACUUAAUGGAGGAAAUUAUUUGUGGGCAGCCCAUGGCCAGGAAAGGAAUUGGGCUAGUAACCAGAAGGCCACUGGUUUAAUCCCAGGACGGCGCUGGGGCACACAAUACCCCAUUGCUCCCUGGGUGCAGAUAAGUACUUACAGGGAGGCGAAACUGACGGGGGGAAGGGACAUUUCCUGGACAUCACUUACCGCUCUGAGUUGCUCCAAUCGGUCCUU
Molecule: long non-coding RNA, 294 nt
Organism: Solea solea (common sole)
Lineage: Eukaryota; Metazoa; Chordata; Actinopteri; Pleuronectiformes; Soleidae
Exons: 3
Source: RefSeq, a predicted model, not a curated record